RNAcentral lists this transfer-messenger RNA (367 nucleotides) under Solirubrobacteraceae. Its description in RNAcentral is "Paraconexibacter sp013695395 Standard tmRNA". It matches the Rfam family "transfer-messenger RNA". From Rfam's summary of the family: Bacterial tmRNA, also known as 10Sa RNA or SsrA, is named for its dual tRNA and mRNA-like properties. Its role is to liberate the mRNA from a stalled ribosome. To accomplish this part of the tmRNA is used as a reading frame that ends in a translation stop signal. The record is from RNAcentral. RNAcentral also lists the same sequence under 1 other name. Lineage: Bacteria; Bacillati; Actinomycetota; Thermoleophilia; Solirubrobacterales.
GGGGACGACAGGCUUCGACGUGGUCGAAACCUGUCUCGUCGGUAGCGAGCGGAGGUCCCGGAGGCCUCCUUAAACACCGGGAACAACACACAUGCGGACUCUCACGAGUACGCCCUCGCUGCUUAGUCUCUGACUAGGUGAGUGAGGACCCGCCCUCGGCCAGCCGGCCGUCGAGGCUUCGGGUUCAAUACGCCGGAUCACCCGCGGAGGAACGCCUUCGCCGAAGCGGGGACAUCUUCAGACGGGCUGGCCCCGCGCAACCCCGUCCGCAAGGCGAGCGCAGGGCGAGACCAGAGUGCGGACUACGCUCGUAGAAGCUUCCGGGACACGAUCGCGGACGCGGGUUCAAUUCCCGCCGUCUCCACUG